Molecule: ribosomal RNA, 253 nt
Filed under: uncultured bacterium
Lineage: Bacteria
Description: partial 16S ribosomal RNA
Rfam family: Bacterial small subunit ribosomal RNA
Source: RNAcentral
UACGGAGGGUGCGAACGUUGCUCGGAAUCAUUGGGCGUAAAGCGCGCGUAGGCGGCUUGGCAAGUUGGAUGUGAAAGCCCAGGGCUCAACCUUGGAAGUGCAUCCAAAACUGCCUGGCUUGAAUUGCGGAGGGGGCCAGAGAAUUCCCGGUGUAGAGGUGAAAUUCGUAGAUAUCGGGAGGAAUACCAGUGGCGAAGGCGCUGGCCUGGACGACAAUUGACGCUGAGGUGCGAAAGCGUGGGGAGCGAACGGG